RNAcentral lists this long non-coding RNA (1233 nucleotides) under Oncorhynchus mykiss (rainbow trout). Its description in RNAcentral is "lncRNA (ENSOMYG00000075535.1)". Lineage: Eukaryota; Metazoa; Chordata; Actinopteri; Salmoniformes; Salmonidae. The record is from RNAcentral.
AUGAUGAGUACUGAUCUGUCCGAUUCUCUCCUCACCCUCCUCCUCCUCACUCUCCUCCUCCUCCUCCUCACUGUUCUCCUCCUCCUCACUCUCCUCCUCCUCCUCACUCUCCUCCUGCUCCACCUCCUCCUCACUCUCCUCCUCCUUCUCCCCCUCACUCUCCUCCUCCUUCUCCCCCUCACUCUCCUCUUCCUCCUCCUCCUCACUCUCCUCCUCCUCUUCCUCCCUCUCCUCCUCCUCCCUCUCCUCCUCCUCACUCUCCUCCUCCUCCUCCUCCUCCUCCUCACUAUUCUCCUCCUCCUCCUCACUCUCCUCCUCCUCCUCACUCUCCUCUUCCUCACUCUCCUUCUCCUCUUCCUCACUCUCCUUCUCCUCUUCCUCACUCUCCUCCUCACUGUCCUCCUCCUCUUCCUCUUCCUCAUCCUCUUCCUCACUCUCCUCCUCACUGUCCUCCUCCUCUUCCUCUUCCUCAUCCCCUUCACUCUCCUCCUCCUCCUCCUCAUCACUCUCCUCCUCCUCUUCCUCAUUCUCCUCUUCCUCCUCCUCACUCUCCUCCUCCUCUUCCUCCUCUUCCUCUUCCUCCCCACUCUCCCAUACCGCCUCCUCUUCCUCAUUCUCCUCCUCCUCUUCCUCACUCUCCUCCUCACUCUCCUGCUCUCUUCCUCACUCUCUUCCUCCUUCUCCUCCCUCUCCUCUUCCUCCUCAUCCUCUCCUCUUCCUCACUCUUCAUCCUCUUCCUCCUCCUCCUCACUCUCCUUCUCCUACUCCUCACUCUCCUCCUUCUACUCCUCCUCCUCCUCCUCUCUCUCCUCUCCCUCUUCCUCACUCUCACUCUCCUCCUUCUCCUCCUCCUCACUCACCUCUUUCUCCUCUUCCGCCUCCUCCUUCUCCUCACUCUCCUGCUCUCUUCCUUACUCUCUUCCUCCUCCUCCUUCUCCUCCUCCUCCUCCUCCUCACGCUCCUCCUCCUCCUCUUCCUUACUCUCCUCCACCUCCUCUUCCUCCACUUCUUCUUCCUCCUACUCCUCAUUCUCCUCCUCCUCUUCCUCACUCUCCUUCUCCUUUUCCUCACUCACCUCUUUCUCCUCUUCCUCACUCUCCUCCUCCUUCUCCUUCUCCUCACUCACCUCUUUCUCCUCUUCCUCCUCCUCCUCUCUGUCAGAUCAACAUGAAGACCAUGCCUGCAGUGAUGUUCAGACUGUUAACAGGACAGGAGACUCCUGUUUACAUCUAG